Molecule: ribosomal RNA, 253 nt
Filed under: uncultured bacterium
Lineage: Bacteria
Description: partial 16S ribosomal RNA
Rfam family: Bacterial small subunit ribosomal RNA
Source: RNAcentral
UACAGAGGGGGCAAGCGUUGUUCGGAAUUACUGGGCGUAAAGGGCGCGUAGGCGGCCUUCUAAGUCAGACGUGAAAUCCCCGGGCUCAACCCGGGAACUGCGUCUGAUACUGGAAGGCUUGAAUUCGGGAGAGGGAUGUGGAAUUCCAGGUGUAGCGGUGAAAUGCGUAGAUAUCUGGAGGAACACCGGUGGCGAAGGCGGCAUCCUGGACCGACAUUGACGCUGAGGCGCGAAAGCCAGGGGAGCAAACGGG